AACGAACGCUGGCGGCAUGCCUAACACAUGCAAGUCGAACGAGACCUUCGGGUCUAGUGGCGCACGGGUGCGUAACGCGUGGGAACCUGCCCUUAGGUUCGGAAUAACUCCCCGAAAGGGGUGCUAAUACCGGAUAAUGUCUUCUGACCAAAGAUUUAUCGCCUUUGGAUGGGCCCGCGUUGGAUUAGCUUGUUGGUAGGGUAAAAGCCUACCAAGGCGACGAUCCAUAGAUGGUCUGAGAGGAUGAUCAGACACACUGGGACUGAGACACGGCCCAGACUACUACGGGAGGCAGCAGAGGGGAAUAUUGGAAAAUGGGCGAAAGCCUGAAAAAGCAAUGACGGGUGAGUGAUGAAGGGAUUAGGGUUGUAAAGCUCUUUUACCCGGGAUGAUAAUGACAGUACCGGGAGAAUAAGCGCCGGCUAACUACGUG
RNAcentral lists this ribosomal RNA (433 nucleotides) under uncultured bacterium. RNAcentral describes it as "partial 16S ribosomal RNA". It matches the Rfam family "Bacterial small subunit ribosomal RNA", at positions 29 to 507 of the family's 1533-position model. The record is from RNAcentral.